Unclassified non-coding RNA from Coturnix japonica (Japanese quail), 136 nucleotides. The record is from Ensembl. NCBI's taxonomy places the organism in Eukaryota, Metazoa, Chordata, Aves, Galliformes, Phasianidae.
UUGAUAGCUCUGGAACCUGAGAUAAACUAAAGCUCUCCCACACUGUAUCACCAAUACGCCUCCAACCUUACCCUGGAGGCACAACCUCUGGGGAUUAGAUGUUUGGUUUCCCUGGUAUAUUCGAGGCCCGGCCUCU